RNAcentral lists this ribosomal RNA (279 nucleotides) under uncultured bacterium. RNAcentral describes it as "partial 16S ribosomal RNA". It matches the Rfam family "Bacterial small subunit ribosomal RNA", at positions 506 to 784 of the family's 1533-position model. The record is from RNAcentral.
UGCCAGCAGCCGCGGUAAUACGGAGGGUCCAAGCGUUAUCCGGAAUCAUUGGGUUUAAGGGGUACGCAGGCGGGACUUUAAGUCAGUGGUGAAAGCCUCCAGCUUAACUGGAGAAUUGCCAUUGAAACUGAUGUUCUUGAGUAUGGAUGAGGUGGUUGGAAUAUAACAUGUAGCGGUGAAAUGCUUAGAUAUGUUAUAGAACACCAAUUGCGAGGGCAGAUCACUAAACCAUUACUGACGCUGAGGUACGAAAGCGUGGGGAGCGAACAGGAUUAGAUA